GAACGCGUGGCGGCGUGGCUUAGGCAUGACAAGUCGAGCGACGAAAGUACCUUCGGGUAUGAGUAGAGCGGACGUAAGGGUGAGUAAUGUAUAGGCAACGUACCCCGUUGGACCGGGAUAGCUGACGGGAAACUGCAGGUAAUACCGGAGUGGUCAAGCGAUGGUGGCAUCACGAUGCUUGUAAACGGUUGGAUACUUCUGCCGAGGGAGCGGCCUAUGCCCUAUUAGCUAGUUGGUGAGGUAAUGGCUCACCAAGGCAACGAUGGGUAGCCGGACUGAGAGGUUGGCCGGUCACACUGGGACUGAGACACUGCCCAGACUCCUACGGGAGGCUGCAGUCGAGAAUCUUCCGCAAUGGACGCAAGUCUGACGGGGCGACGCCGCGUGUAGGAUGAAGGCCCUCGGGUUGUAAACUACUGUUGCGCACUAGGAAAAGUGUGAGGUUAAUAGCCUUGCACCUGACCAAUGCGUGAGGAAGCACUGGCUAACUCCGUG
This 495-nucleotide ribosomal RNA is filed under the name uncultured bacterium. RNAcentral describes it as "bacterial SSU rRNA". It matches the Rfam family "Bacterial small subunit ribosomal RNA", at positions 37 to 507 of the family's 1533-position model. The record is from RNAcentral.